Molecule: ribosomal RNA, 789 nt
Filed under: Cyathus earlei
Lineage: Eukaryota; Fungi; Basidiomycota; Agaricomycetes; Agaricales; Nidulariaceae
Description: eukaryotic LSU rRNA
Rfam family: Eukaryotic large subunit ribosomal RNA
Source: RNAcentral
CGAGUGAAGCGGGAAAAGCUCAAAUUUAAAAUCUGGUGGUCUCUGGCCAUCCGAGUUGUAAUCUAGAGAAGUGUUACCCGCGUUGGACCGUGUACAAGUCUCCUGGAAUGGAGCGUCAUAGAGGGUGAGAAUCCCGUCUUUGACACGGACUACCAAGGCUUUGUGGUAUGCUCUCAACGAGUCGAGUUGUUUGGGAAUGCAGCUCAAAAUGGGUGGUAAAUUCCAUCUAAAGCUAAAUAUAGGCGAGAGACCGAUAGCGAACAAGUACCGUGAGGGAAAGAUGAAAAGAACUUUGGAAAGAGAGUUAAACAGUACGUGAAAUUGCUGAAAGGGAAACGCUGGAAGUCAGUCGCGUUGGCUAGGAAUCAACCUUACUCUUUUGUAGGGCUUACUUCUUAGUUGACGGGCCAACAUCAAUUUUGAUUGCUGGAAAAAGGCUUAGGGAAUGUGGCACCUUCGGGUGUGUUAUAGCCCUAGGUCGUAUACAGUGAUUGGGAUUGAGGAACGCAGCACGCCGAAAGGUUGGGUYUCGACCACACUCGUGCUUCGGAUGUUGGCAUAAUGGCUUUCAUCGACCCGUCUUGAAACACGGACCAAGGAGUCUAACAUGCCUGCGAGUGUUUGAGUGGAAAACUCGAGCGCAYAAUGAAAGUAAUAGUUGAGAUCUCUGUCAUGGAGAGCAUCGACGCCCGGACCUGAUGUUUACUGACGGUUCUGCGGUAGAGCAUGUAUGUUGGGACCCGAAAGAUGGUGAACUAUGCCUGAAUAGGGUGAAGCCAGAGGAAACUC